GGAAAACAAUUUUCUCUGCAUCCUGUCAGUAAUUGAGCAAUAACAAUCAUAAGCUUUAUUGCAUUUGUCAUCAAAGUACUUCAUGGCUAACAGCAAAUUUGAAAAUCUUUUUGCACCAAUAUGGAGUGUCCAAACAGAAAAAUAUCAUCCAUAUACAUCAUAGAACAAUCUCUACUCACGGCAAAUGGAAAGGGGGGACCCUGACAGAUCCCAAAGCUCCCAAAGGGAAAGGAAUAGGUAAAACAAUGUUUAUCAACAUCUUACAUCAGAUAGCACACAAAAAUUUUCACAUAAAGAUCACUAGAUAAGGAUGAUGGUGAAAUAAUUCAUUGGCUAACUUGACACUUAAGCAACAACCCAGUAGAAAGGGUAAAGAUCUUAGGUUUUAAGAUUUAAAGAGGACGAAAAAGGGCCAGGUAUUUGAAGUGGUCAAUUUAAAUGUGCCUAGAACAGCAAAACUCCACCCUGAACCUUUAGAUUCACACAGUCCUAACCCAUCCUCCUAAGUCUUGAAUGGCCACUUAGUUCUGUUUGAAAAAUGAGAAAGCAAUUCAUCAUGCGCUAGUUCAAUCCAGCCCAUUAUUCAAUGGAACAAAGUUCAGCCUUCUUUUUUAGUUGUUGCCAUACAUAGACAAGUUGGCACUUUCCCCUCAGGAUGAAGGUCCUCAAAGCCUUUCAUUCAAACAAUCAAGAUGAAGAAUUCAUAUAUUCUCUAAAGAGCCACGAUCCUGUAUCUUUGGAAAAGACUUGAAAUUAGAGCCUCCAAACAUAGCAAACAAAUGGCAGCACCAGGCUAAGAGCAUGAAUACUAGGGCGCACUUUGAACUUGGGGCCAUAUACCACCCCAUUCUAUUUCUAAAGCUUCCACAAUUGCAAAUGAUAAGUAUCAAAAAUUGUCCCUUGCACAGACAUCUUGCUAUUGCUCACUGAAGAAGAGAGAGAAUUGCAAUUUUUCCUCUAUCAUCUUCAUCAUCAGGCUGUUUUGUUAGUUUCAGAUCAUUAUGUAAGAUUUAAGGUACUCCCUACUCACUAAAGCAAAUAUGAUGCUAUUGUUUAGCAUGCUCUUUGUAGAAAUUUAGGAUUGUUCACAAUUUGGCCCUACUUUUAUUCUUAAUAGGAUAAAGACUUUUCCAAAAACAGAAAAUGUUUGAAAUGGCUUCAGCAGUGAGGAUUGUGGCAGAAUUUUAAUCAAAUUAGGUUAAAGGCUAGUAUCAUGAACACAAAACAUAAAGGUCCCUACAUAAUCCCACCAAGUGCCAAAUUCUAACUGAGUUGUAUAGUAUGUGCAGUAUACUACAUAUAUGAU
Molecule: unclassified non-coding RNA, 1306 nt
Filed under: Hevea brasiliensis (rubber tree)
Lineage: Eukaryota; Viridiplantae; Streptophyta; Magnoliopsida; Malpighiales; Euphorbiaceae
Source: RNAcentral